GCCUACGGGUGGCUGCAGUGGGGAAUUUUGGACAAUGGGGGCAACCCUGAUCCAGCCAUGCCGCGUGCGGGAAGAAGGCCUUCGGGUUGUAAACCGCUUUCGGACAGAAAGAAAUCGCACGGGCUAAUACCCUGUGUGGAUGACGGUACUGUAAGAAGAAGCACCGGCUAACUACGUGCCAGCAGCCGCGGUAAUACGUAGGGUGCGAGCGUUAAUCGGAAUUACUGGGCGUAAAGCGUGCGCAGGCGGAUUGUUAAGCAAGAUGGGGACUCCCCGGGCUUAACCUGGGAAUGGCAUUUUGAACUGGCAGUCUAGAGUGCGUCAGAGGGGGGUGGAAUUCCACGUGUAGCAGUGAAAUGCGUAGAGAUGUGGAGGAACACCGAUGGCGAAGGCAGCCCCCUGGGAUGACACUGACGCUCAUGCACGAAAGCGUGGGGAGCAAACAGGAUUAGAUACCCUGGUAGUCU
Molecule: ribosomal RNA, 467 nt
Filed under: uncultured Thiobacillus sp.
Lineage: Bacteria; Pseudomonadati; Pseudomonadota; Betaproteobacteria; Nitrosomonadales; Thiobacillaceae
Description: bacterial SSU rRNA
Rfam family: Bacterial small subunit ribosomal RNA
Source: RNAcentral